Molecule: long non-coding RNA, 1082 nt
Filed under: Pelobates cultripes (western spadefoot toad)
Lineage: Eukaryota; Metazoa; Chordata; Amphibia; Anura; Pelobatidae
Source: RNAcentral
GGGAGAGCUGGGCACACACCGGGAGAGGAAGGGGGGGUAGAGCCGGGCACACACCGAGAGGAAGGGGGGAGAGCUGGGCACACACCGGGAGAGGAAGGGGAGAGCUGGGCAACACACCGAGAGGAAGGGGGUAGGAGCUUGGGCAAUGGCCACCGGGAGAGGAAGGGGGAGACAAGCCACACCGAGAGGCGGGGAGCCGGGCACACACACCGGGAGUAGUUGAGAGGAGGGGGGGGAGCUGGGCACACACCGAGCACCGGGGAGGCAGGGGAGAGCUAAGCACACCGGGAGAGGGGGGAGGAGGGGGGAGUCCGUAUAGCCAGCGCCGGCUGACCGAGCAAUGGGAGGAGGGGGGAGAGCUGGGCACACACCGGGAGGGGGAGUCCGGGAGAGCUGGGGCACACACCGGGAGGGGGGGGAGUCCGGGAGAGCUGGGCACACACCGGGAGGGGGGAGUCCGGGAGAGCUGGGCACACACCGGGAGCUGUCACUGACUCUGCCUGACUGAGCUCUGUCUCGGCCGCUUCCUUUCUCCCGGUUCCGGGGUCACCGUGUUACGAGGCGGAGGGCUGUCCUAGUGAGGUGACCCGGCCAGGCGGCGGCAGCAGCAGGAGGAGCAGUGUUUGUGAUCUCUCUCCCUUUCUUGGCUCUUGGCUCCAGCCUCUCUCUCUCUCUCUCCCGUCUCCGCUCCUUUUCCGGUUUCUCUCUCUCUCUCUAUUAUUUUUUUUUUUUGUGCUUCACACUUUCAAUUCAGAGACAAAAUGGCGGCGGCGCCCGGUCAUGUGACUGCGAGCCGCAGAGGCGCCGGUUGUUAAGGUGGUUCCACCUGGUGACUGAGGACAGCACCAGGCAGGGAUAUUCCGGGCUAGGAUGGCUGCUGGCGGAGGGAGAGAGAGAGAGAGAGGGAGGGCGGACGCUGCUCACUGGCUGUGGGGGGCAGUGGGUGUAACAAUUUAUUCAGAGAAAAAUAUUCAUGUCUCAAAAAUCAUCUCAGAUUCAUAAGCCAUUAUUUAAAAUAAUAAUAAUGAUAAUUAGUUAUAAUAAGCACAGAGCACACUCUCUCCACCCUUUACUGAGACAUU